ACAAAGAAGAUCGAAGAUAUUUGUUAUCGAAAUUAUUGGCAAUCACGGUUACGGUAACUGACUUUGACCAAUAUGCAUGGGCAAAGUUUCAAAAUUCUCUCUACCUUGCCAUUUCUCACAUACGCUACAGAGGUUGUGAGUCGGAAGUUAUAGUUAAUUGGGGGCAGAAACUCGAAGAGCAGGUCGAGGAUAGAAAUGAUUAUUCUCGAUUCUGCUACCAAGUUCAUCGAGCCUUUGCAUCCCUUCGCGAUCUUUUCUCAGAUAGCCAACCGGAAGUUUGAAGGGAGCACGAGACUAAAGGAACAGCGAACCAGUGAUUUAAAUCGUAAGAAGAAAAGCUCCAAAGAAAAAACUGAUACUCUGGAUAAUUCCUUAAAGUUUUAUUCUUUCAUUGAAGUAAUCUCAAAGUAGCAACGUACCUUGAGAAGAAACGAUACCUGAAACGGAACAAUGUCGGAAGGAAAAAGCUAAUUCUUAAAGGUAAAACUAAUUAUGGAUUAUUUAUGGAUACGAUGUAAAUAGAAAAUUUAAUUUCUUUAGAAUGUGAGUGUUU
This 553-nucleotide unclassified non-coding RNA is filed under the name Bombus terrestris (buff-tailed bumblebee). Its description in RNAcentral is "misc RNA ENSBTSG00005034470.1". The record is from RNAcentral. Lineage: Eukaryota; Metazoa; Arthropoda; Insecta; Hymenoptera; Apidae.